Acanthosepion pharaonis is the source of this 108-nucleotide non-coding RNA. The record is from the annotation of a GenBank genome assembly. Lineage: Eukaryota; Metazoa; Mollusca; Cephalopoda; Sepiida; Sepiidae.
UUACGACCAUAUCGCGUUAAAACCAUCGGUUCUCGUAUGAUCACCGAAGUUAAGCAACUUCGAAGCUAGUCAGUACCUAGAUGGGUGACCGCUUGGGAAUGUCAUGUG